Molecule: non-coding RNA, 74 nt
Organism: Podarcis lilfordi (Lilford's wall lizard)
Lineage: Eukaryota; Metazoa; Chordata; Lepidosauria; Squamata; Lacertidae
Source: the annotation of a GenBank genome assembly
UCCUUGAUAGUUCAGUCGGUAGAGCAUGAGAUUUCUAAUCUCAGGGUCAUCGGUUUGAGCCCCACAUUGGGCAA